GAUGAAGAACGUAGCGAAAUGCGAUACUUGGUGUGAAUUGCAGAAUCCCGUGAACCAUCGAGUCUUUGAACGCAAGUUGCGCCUCAAGCCAUUAGGUUGAGGGCACGUCUGCCUGGGCGUCACAUAUCGUUGCCUGAUGCCAGUUUCCUCGUGAUGGGUGACUGUGCAGGGCGAAUGAUGGCUUCCCGUGAGCAUUGUUGCCUCAUGGUUGGUUGAAAAUUGAGUCCUUGGUAGGGAGCGCCGUGGUAGAUGGUGGUUGAGUGACGAACGAGACCCAAUCAUGUGAGACCCCUACCGAAUUUGGCCUUCAUGACCCACAUGCGUCUUUGGAACGCUCAUGACGAGACCUCAGGUCAGGCGGGGCUACCCGCUGAGUUUAAGCAUAUCAAUAAGCGGAGGA
Molecule: unclassified non-coding RNA, 400 nt
Filed under: soil metagenome
Description: partial contains 5.8S ribosomal RNA, internal transcribed spacer 2, and large subunit ribosomal RNA
Rfam family: 5.8S ribosomal RNA (bases 1-122)
Source: RNAcentral